Molecule: non-coding RNA, 229 nt
Organism: Pelobates cultripes (western spadefoot toad)
Lineage: Eukaryota; Metazoa; Chordata; Amphibia; Anura; Pelobatidae
Source: the annotation of a GenBank genome assembly
CAGCUCCUUGAUAGCUGUGUUGUGCUUAACUGGUGUGCCAGUUGCUGUGAGGAAUCCCCUUGUCUUCCAGAUUAGUCCGAAGUCAUGUGCCACGCCUAGUGCAUAUCUUGAGUCAGUGUAGAUAUUGGCGCGCUUUCCCUCAGCGAUCCUGCAUGCUGUGGUGAGAGCUUGUAGCUCAGCUUCUUGGGCUGACAUAGAUCAGGGAAGUGGGGAUGCUUGGAGCACUGUG